Molecule: ribosomal RNA, 454 nt
Filed under: uncultured bacterium
Lineage: Bacteria
Description: bacterial SSU rRNA
Rfam family: Bacterial small subunit ribosomal RNA
Source: RNAcentral
CGAACGCUGGCGGCGUGCCUAAUACAUGCAAGUCGAGCGGACAGAUGGGAGCUUGCUCCCUGAUGUUAGCGGCGGACGGGUGAGUAACACGUGGGUAACCUGCCUGUAAGACUGGGAUAACUCCGGGAAACCGGGGCUAAUACCGGAUGGUUGUUUGAACCGCAUGGUUCAAACAUAAAAGGUGGCUUCGGCUACCACUUACAGAUGGACCCGCGGCGCAUUAGCUAGUUGGUGAGGUAACGGCUCACCAAGGCAACGAUGCGUAGCCGACCUGAGAGGGUGAUCGGCCACACUGGGACUGAGACACGGCCCAGACUCCUACGGGAGGCAGCAGUAGGGAAUCUUCCGCAAUGGACGAAAGUCUGACGGAGCAACGCCGCGUGAGUGAUGAAGGUUUUCGGAUCGUAAAGCUCUGUUGUUAGGGAAGAACAAGUACCGUUCGAAUAGGGCGGUA